UACAGAGGUCCCAAGCGUUGUUCGGAUUCACUGGGCGUAAAGGGUGCGUAGGUGGUGAGGUAAGUCGGAUGUGAAAGCUCGGAGCUCAACUCCGAAAUGGCAUUGGAAACUACCUUGCUCGAGGGUUGGAGGGGGGACUGGAAUACUUGGUGUAGCAGUGAAAUGCGUAGAUAUCAAGUGGAACACCGGUGGCGAAGGCGGGUCUCUGGGCCAUAACUGACGCUGAGGAGCGAAAGCGUGGGGAGCGAACAGG
This 253-nucleotide ribosomal RNA is filed under the name uncultured bacterium. RNAcentral describes it as "partial 16S ribosomal RNA". It matches the Rfam family "Bacterial small subunit ribosomal RNA", at positions 524 to 776 of the family's 1533-position model. The record is from RNAcentral.